Molecule: ribosomal RNA, 292 nt
Filed under: uncultured Alphaproteobacteria bacterium
Lineage: Bacteria; Pseudomonadati; Pseudomonadota; Alphaproteobacteria
Description: partial 16S ribosomal RNA
Source: RNAcentral
GGACUACCCGGGUUUCUAAUCCUGUUUGAUCCCCACGCUUUCGCGCCUCAGCGUCAGUAUCGAGCCAGUUGGCCGCCUUCGCCACCGGUGUUCUUGCGAAUAUCUACGAAUUUCACCUCUACACUCGCAGUUCCACCAACCUCUCUCGAACUCGAGACUCCCAGUAUCGAAGGCCGUUCUGUGGUUGAGCCACAGGAUUUCACCUUCGACUGAGGAGUCCGCCUACGCGCCCUUUACGCCCAGUGAUUCCGAACAACGCUAGCCCCCUUCGUAUUACCGCGGCGGCUGGCAC